GCCUUGCCUUGCCUUGUGAAGGGAACGUAAUCCGCACUUGAUCCGACCCAGCUACUAGGCGCCACUGGGCGAGUGAACGUUCUCACAUGGCUCAUAGUGAUGCAUUUCGGUUCACCUUGAUUUUUCUCUGUGUGAAAAGAAAACACACCAAGUUUACCAACUCAUCCACUGAUUCAGACCAGAGCAAACCAACUAUAGGUUUGAAAAUGCCCUGAGACCGUGUUGCACUACACAAGUACAGUAUGUCAACCCUGUUUUAGAUUGAUUUAAUUUCUUCCAGUCAGCCACUGGUUUACAAUCAUUUAUUGAAGUUAGCUCAUAAAACUUGAUUGAGCCACACAGUCCUUCACAGUUAUCCUUUAAUUUCCUUACUGUCAUAUACAAAUAAGAGAGAUGAUGAAGUCAAGAGCCGGUUGCUGUAAAACAUGCAUUCAUAAGCUGUGCUAUGAGCUAACCAAACCCGAAAACACUGAUACUGACAAAAAUGAUUUUAAUUCUGUUAUUUCUUACAUUAAAGAGCUGCGUGACUUAAAAUAUUUGACUGACCAAACAUACCCUGUUAGCAACUGCCAGGAUCGAUAAUGAAUUGACUUAUUUAGGUCAUUACAUCCUCUGCAGAUUCAUUUAUGCUCUGCGGCUGUAUUGCACUUGCACUGUCCGGUCAGUACUUCACAGUGUUUAAACAAACACUGAUUUCCUAGGAAAAAUCCACUGAUGAGGGUCCAGAGAGACACAGAUAGAUAGGCUGACAAAACUGUUUCCAAACCUAGUUCACUCCACACCCAAUUUGCAAGUGAUCUGACUUUCUUGUUCUGAUAUAAUCCAGCCACGAUGUGCACUGACCCUGUUUAAACAAAGCAAGAGCCGGAAAAAGUAAUUAGGUCACAUAAUUAAAUAAAUACAUCCAGGGGAAACAGUGAACAGGUGUUCUCAGGCCACGAGUGGAUACACAGAUAUAUAUAUAACAAUAUGAAAUCUAACCUUUCGGGUCAUAUCCUGAAAAUAUAAAGUUCUAAACAAUAGGUCUUAAACAACAAUAUUUCACAUUCCAGUUUUUUUUGAAUUCAUAAAAUAUCUGAACUGGGGCUUUAAGAUUCCUUUGUUUCCUCUGUCCAGCUGUUAAUCUAUUGUUAUUGAUUACUUUUAACUGCAGAGAUUAAACAUGUGUGUGUCCUGGCUAAUGUGAAUGUAUGACUGUUAUGACUUAGACUAAUUUCACAAUUACAAAGACUCACAGAAAUGGAGUGGUCUCCAGUCAUAUUUUACUCAUUAUACAUCCUCCCUCUGUUUCUGUUUUCUUCAUGUCUCCUCAUUAAUCUUUUCUUCAGCCCUAAAACACAUAUUUUCCCUGUUCUCCCCCUCUUUGUUCUUUUAUUCGUUUUUAAUUUUCGCUUUCUAUUUGACUUCCUCUGAGUGUACUGGAGUAUAAAGAACUAGAUCUGCAGUUGACAAAACAAGGUCAUCACUGGCUGUUCUGGAGCUUUUGGCCAUAUUACAUGAUCCCUCUUAAUAGAUGGAGUUUGCCCAGCUGUCAUGGAAUAGAAUAGGUGUGAAAUUUAACUUCCAAUUAUUUUUGUUCAGUUUAAUUUCAAUUUGAAAUAAAGUUAAGCCAUCAAGCUUUAAGCCAUCAGCCAAGAGCCUGCAUGCAGCUGCUGUUACAGGUAGAGAGCAGAAGGCAGAUCACCUGUAACCCCUGAUUGUCUCAUUUCAAGACCUUUCUGACCAACAGGAAGGAGCGUGACAAUCAUAGAAAGUAUUCAAUUACGCCUUCUAGGGAGAGUUGGUAAGAGACGAAUAUGGAGGCGAGAGAGGCAGCCAUGCAGCCAAAGGAAGUGCAUUUUUGUCAGCAGUAGAGCUUCUGCAAGUGAGGAUGUCAGUCAGUGUCAGUAAGAGUUUGGCUGGUUGACGAGAGGAGAAUUUACUGAAAUACGCUUCAUUUCUUUGCAUGUAUCAUUAAUUAACUAUCAUGCAGUAUUUGAACCAACCUCAUUUAUGAGUUUGUUUUAAAUACAUGCUCAUCCAACAUCCUCUGCACAUCCCUGCCUUGAACAAUUUUAAAACUAUGGUGAAAUCUAUUGAGUCUGAUGGUCUGUGUGCAAAUGUUUUAUCUGAUCAUUUUUAAUGUUACUCAAAUCAAUGUGCUUUUAUGUUAAUUUAUUGUUGAAUCUCUGUGUUGCUGCUGUUCUUGGCCAGAUCUCCCUUGUAAAAGAGAUAUUUGAUCUCAGUGGGACAAACCUGGUUAAAUAAAGGCUAAAAGAAAAAAAAAAUACUUUGCUUUUACUGGGUUUCUCAGAUGACAUUGGGUGGCAACAUUCUCGUCUUCUCCUAGUGAAAAUAACAUCUUAAUGAUAUAGUUUAUUCUUGCUCUGUAAUAUAAAAGUUUGUCUGUAUCUUACCAAGUUCUCACUGUUGUACUUUUAGUAAAAUGUAUGGAAUAGCUUUUCAACAACUAUGGUAUUCCUUACAGUUGUAAAUUUAAGUUUUUGUGGCAAUUCAGGAAACAGUAGGUAUAUUAAGAAGGAAUAAGUCAAAACCGCCUGUCUCAAAUAAUGUUUUCAACACUAGUUACGACUGAGUGUGUGUGUAGCUCCAUUCAUGUUUUUUUUUUCUUGCACAUUGUUCUGACAUUGUUACUAGCCCACAAUAGGCACUAUUCAAAAUGCCUUAAACUUUGUACAUUCUAUCUCAUUUAAACGUUAUUACA
Thunnus maccoyii (southern bluefin tuna) is the source of this 2704-nucleotide long non-coding RNA. RefSeq lists it as uncharacterized. Lineage: Eukaryota; Metazoa; Chordata; Actinopteri; Scombriformes; Scombridae. The record is from RefSeq and is a predicted model, not a curated record. The transcript has 3 exons.